AGCGAACGCUGGCGGCAGGCUUAACACAUGCAAGUCGAGCGGACCUUUCGGGGUCAGCGGCGGACGGGUGAGUAACGCGUGGGAACGUGCCUUCCGGUUCGGCAUAACUCUGGGACACUAGGGCUAAUACCGGAUACGCCCUUAUGGGGAAAGGUUUACUGCCUGAAUAUCGGCCCGCGUCUGAUUAGCUAGUUGGUGGGGUAACGGGCUACCAAGGCGACGAUCAGUAGCUGGUCUGAGAGGAUGGUCAGCCACACUGGGACUGAGACACGGCCCAGACUCCUACGGGAGGCAGCAGUGGGGAAUAUUGGACAAUGGGCGCAAGCCUGAUCCAGCCAUGCCGCGUGAGUGAUGAAGGCCUUAGGGUUGUAAAGCUCCUUUAUCCGGGACGAUAAUGACGGUACCUGAGGAAUAAGCCCCGGCUAACUUCGUG
This 433-nucleotide ribosomal RNA is filed under the name uncultured bacterium. RNAcentral describes it as "partial 16S ribosomal RNA". It matches the Rfam family "Bacterial small subunit ribosomal RNA", at positions 29 to 507 of the family's 1533-position model. The record is from RNAcentral.